RNAcentral lists this ribosomal RNA (253 nucleotides) under uncultured bacterium. Its description in RNAcentral is "partial 16S ribosomal RNA". It matches the Rfam family "Bacterial small subunit ribosomal RNA", at positions 524 to 776 of the family's 1533-position model. The record is from RNAcentral.
UACGAAGGGGGCGAGCGUUGUUCGGAUUUACUGGGCGUAAAGGGCGCGCAGGCGGCUCAUUUUGUCAGGCGUGAAAGCCCCGGGCUUAACCUGGGAACUGCGUUUGAUACGGAUGGGCUAGAGUUCGGGAGAGGAGAGUGGAAUUCCCAGUGUAGAGGUGAAAUUCGUAGAUAUUGGGAAGAACACCGGUGGCGAAGGCGGCUCUCUGGACCGACACUGACGCUGAGGCGCGAAAGCGUGGGGAGCAAACAGG